RNAcentral lists this unclassified non-coding RNA (541 nucleotides) under Hevea brasiliensis (rubber tree). Lineage: Eukaryota; Viridiplantae; Streptophyta; Magnoliopsida; Malpighiales; Euphorbiaceae. The record is from RNAcentral.
AACUCAUCAUUAAUGUCAUUUAAAAUCCUUUGACCAUCAAGAAUCUCAUGUUGCCCUUCUUGUCUGGCAGUGAGCCAAGUAGUACAAUCACGAUGAUUCACUCUAACAGAAGCUGCUUUAUACCUUGGACCUAUUGCAGAAACACCAUUUGAUAAUGCAGCAUGGAAUUGAAUUUCCCCUAUUCCAUGAGCUUUUUCUCUAUCCCUUGCAAACACAAGAGCAACAGCAUCAGAAAAAUAUUUCUUGCUCUCACAGACAUUUUUUGAUUCCAUGCCACUUCUGUACAAAAAUUCAGUUUUCUCAUCACCAACAAUAAUAGUUUCCUUCAACAUGGCAUAAUCCAAUUUCUCAAUGAUAGGUUUCAGGUCAAUAUCUCCACCUCCAAACAUUAUGAUUCCAACUGGCGAUGUGCAACCUGAAGCCAAAACUGUGUAGCUCCGAAUGUCCACCACAAGGUCAUCAGCCAUUGAUACUCGAGGUGCCUGCGUUCGUCUUAACAGAGGGAUGGCCUCAACUUGCAAUCCAGGUAAAAAGCCCACAG